UCCAAUCUCGCGGGACCUAAGACUGC
Molecule: non-coding RNA, 26 nt
Filed under: Mus musculus (house mouse)
Lineage: Eukaryota; Metazoa; Chordata; Mammalia; Rodentia; Muridae
Source: RNAcentral